CAGAGGUCUCAGGUUCGAAUCCUGUCGGGCGCGCCAUUUAGUCCCGGCGCUUGAGCUGCGGUGGUAGUAAUACCGCG
Molecule: transfer RNA, 77 nt
Filed under: Escherichia coli K-12
Lineage: Bacteria; Pseudomonadati; Pseudomonadota; Gammaproteobacteria; Enterobacterales; Enterobacteriaceae
Description: tRNA-Arg
Source: RNAcentral